GACGAACGCUGGCGGCGUGCUUAACACAUGCAAGUCGAACGGAAAGGCCCCUUUUGGGGUACUCGAGUGGCGAACGGGUGAGUAACACGUGAGUAACCUGUCCUUGACUUCGGGCUAACUUCAGGAAACUGGGGCUAAUACCGGCUAGGAAUCCUUGCUGCAUGGUGGGGGUUGGAAAGCUUUGGCGGGUUUGGAUGGACUCUCGGGUUAUCUGAUUGUUGGGGGGGUAGUGGCUUACCAAGGCUUUGACGGGUAGCCGGCCUGAGAGGGUGACCGGCCACAUUGGGACUGAGAUACGGCCCAGACUCCUACGGGAGGCAGCAGUGGGGAAUAUUGCACAAUGGGCGGAAGCCUGAUGCAGCAACGCCGCGUGCGGGAUGACGGCCUUCGGGUUGUAAACCGCUUUCAGCAGGGGCGAAGCUUGUGGUGACGGUACCUGCAGAAGAAGCACCGGCUAACUACGUG
This 465-nucleotide ribosomal RNA is filed under the name uncultured bacterium. RNAcentral describes it as "partial 16S ribosomal RNA". It matches the Rfam family "Bacterial small subunit ribosomal RNA", at positions 28 to 507 of the family's 1533-position model. The record is from RNAcentral.